AGUGGGAUAGCUGGGUUAAAUGGUGGUUCCAUUCCCAGUUUUCUGAGGAUUCUCCAUAUUGCUUUCCAUAUUGGCUGCACCAAUUUUAAGUCCCACCAGCAAU
This 103-nucleotide microRNA precursor is filed under the name Marmota monax (woodchuck). Lineage: Eukaryota; Metazoa; Chordata; Mammalia; Rodentia; Sciuridae. The record is from RNAcentral.